AAUGAUCCUGCUCAGAUUGAACGCUGGCGGGAUGCUUUACACAUGCAAGUCGAACGGCAGCACGGACUUCGGUCUGGUGGCGAGUGGCGAACGGGUGAGUAAUGUAUCGGAACGUGCCUAGUAGCGGGGGAUAACUACGCGAAAGCGUAGCUAAUACCGCAUACGCCCUUCGGGGGAAAGCGGGGACCUUCGGGCCUCGCACUAUUAGAGCGGCCGAUAUCGGAUUAGCUAGUUGGUGGGGUGUAACGGCUCACCAAGGCGACGAUCCGUAGCUGGUUUGAGAGGACGACCAACCACUGGGACUGAGACACGGCCCAGACUCCUACGGGAGGCAGCAGUGGGGAAUUUUGGACAAUGGGGGGAAACCCUGAUCCAGCCAUCCCGCGUGUGCGAUGAAGGCCUUCGGGUUGUAAAGCACUUUUGGCAGGAAAGAAACGGCAUCGGAUAAUACCCCGUGCAACUGACGGCCUGCAGAAUAAGCACCGGCUAACUACGCCAGCAGCCGCGGUAAUACGUAGGGUGCAAGCGUUAACGGAAUUACUGGGCGUAAAGCGUGCGCAGGCGGUUCGGAAAGAAAGAUGUGAAAUCCCAGAGCUUAACUUUGGAACUGCAUUUUUAACUACCGAGCUAGAGUGUGUCAGAGGGAGGUGGAAUUCGCGUGUAGCAGUGAAAUGCGUAGAUAUGCGGAGGAACACCGAUGGCGAAGGCAGCCUCUGGGGAUAACACUGACGCUCAUGCACGAAAGCGUGGGGAGCAAACAGGAUUAGAUACCCUGGUAGUCCACGCCCUAAACGAUGUCAACUAGCUGUUGGGGCCUUCGGGCUCUGGUAGCGCAGCUAACGCAUGAAGUUGACCGCCUGGGGAGUGUUUGGUCGCAAGAUUAAAACUCAAAGGAAUUGACGGGACCCGCACAGCGGUGGAUGAUGUGGAUUAAUUCGAUGCAACGCGAAAAACCUUACCUACCCUUGACAUGUCUGGAAUCCCGGAAGAGAUUUGGGAGUGCUCGCAAGAGAACCGGAACACAGGUGCUGCAUGGCUGUCGGGUCAGCUCGUGUCGAGAUGUUGGGUUAAGUCCCGCAACGAGCGCAACCCCUUGUCAUUAGUUGCUACGAAAGGGCACUCUAAUGAGACUGCCGGUGACAAACCGGAGGAAGGUGGGGAUGACGUCAAGUCCUCAUGGCCCUUAUGGGUAGGGCUUCACACGUCAUACAAUGGUCGGGACAGAGGGUCGCCGAACCGCGAGGGGGAGCCAAUCCCAGAAAACCCGAUCGUAGUCCGGAUCGCAGUCUGCAACUCGACUGCGUGAAGUCGGAAUCGCUAGUAAUCGCGGAUCAGCAUGUCGCGGUGAAUACGUUCCCGGGUCUUGUACACACCGCCCGUCACACCAUGGGAGUGGGUUUUACCAGAAGUAGUUAGCCUAACCGUAAGGAGGGCGAUUACCACGGUAGGAUUCAUGACUGGGGUGAAGUCGUAACAAGGUAA
RNAcentral lists this ribosomal RNA (1482 nucleotides) under uncultured Bordetella sp. RNAcentral describes it as "partial 16S-23S ribosomal RNA intergenic spacer". It matches the Rfam family "Bacterial small subunit ribosomal RNA". The record is from RNAcentral. Lineage: Bacteria; Pseudomonadati; Pseudomonadota; Betaproteobacteria; Burkholderiales; Alcaligenaceae.